GAAUCUAUGGUGCAAAUGAGGUGAGGAGGAGCUGGCAGCCGAGACCAAGCUUGGUAGAGGUGGAGAGAAUUAAGUGGGGAAAGUGAGUGUGGUAGGUGGCUGUCAAAAAUAUCUAGCUGCUCUCAGGUUACCAAUGGAACACCUCCUAAGAAUGCGCCAUUGGUAACCAGGGUUACUAAUGGCGCACCUGGUGUGUGGUGCGCCAUUACUAGUUUUGAAAAAAA
RNAcentral lists this long non-coding RNA (224 nucleotides) under Hordeum vulgare. RNAcentral describes it as "long non-coding RNA (HVUL_LNC012617)". Lineage: Eukaryota; Viridiplantae; Streptophyta; Magnoliopsida; Poales; Poaceae. The record is from RNAcentral.